UGAGCAGGGGGUUGGACUACAUGACCUCCUGAGGUCCCUUCCAACCCUGCUAUUCUAUGAUCCUGGGCAUGUGCUACUUAAGUCAUGUUAUGCAUAUGCUAAGAAGAAGAUUCCAGCAACGAUUCCAGCCUCUGCUAACAUUAGCCUGCUUCAGUAGCCCUUGUUAAAUUCAGUUUGCAAACAAAACUAAAACCAAAGCAAUUACAUUAGUCCUUAUGACAGGUUCAAUAUCUAUUCACCUUUCUCAAAUGCUCUGUUGAAUGAAAGAUUCAACUGCAUCAGGAAAUUCCUCUUUUCUUGUAAGAGGUUCAAGAUGUUAUCUUAAAGCCUCAGCAUUCCAGGGAGUUGUGGACUUUACACACAGACCUCAGACAUGCUCUGUUUUCAGUCUUGGACUUGACUCACCAGGAUACUCAUAUGACGCAUGAGGAUCAGAGGGUAAGUGAUCUCGGAAGCAUUACAGUGUUAAGGAAAAGUUAGCACAUGUGACUCCAUUUUGGUUUGGGGCCCACCAUUGUUUAAAUGCCAGCACAUCAUACACCAGGAGGAGUGAUCCUGAGAUACUGAAUCCCUGUGAAAAUCCUCCUCCUUGUCUCCAGCCUGCCUUGACUCCCAGUAUCUGGUUUUUGUCAGUCUCUAACUCCCUGUCUCUUGGCCUUGAUGUGAGGCCUCCCAUCCUGAUAAUAAAGGUUACUGAUGCAUGGCUUUAGGACCAUGCUGUGUAAUUAACAUACUGGUAUAGCACGAGGAAUGCACCAAGCAGGGAUAGGUGGUAGAUAAGACAAGGGUUCGUUUAUUGGCUAAGGUUUCCGAUGCACGAGGGCAACAUGCUUUGCUAAAAAGUAUGUAACCUUUGUAUAAUUUGUAUUAGGGUCCCCCCAUGGCUAGCAGGGGGGCUCCACGCUCGAGCGUAAUAAACUUAGUGUCUUUUGGGAA
This is a non-coding RNA of Caretta caretta (loggerhead turtle), 936 nucleotides long. NCBI's taxonomy places the organism in Eukaryota, Metazoa, Chordata, Testudines, Cheloniidae. The record is from RefSeq and is a predicted model, not a curated record.